This 299-nucleotide long non-coding RNA is filed under the name Musa acuminata (dwarf banana). RNAcentral's name for it is "long non-coding RNA (MACU_LNC007296)". Lineage: Eukaryota; Viridiplantae; Streptophyta; Magnoliopsida; Zingiberales; Musaceae. The record is from RNAcentral.
AGCGUUCUUGGCAUCUCGCUGCCCUUCCACUGCCAUCCAUCAGCCCUCCACAACCGCCCAAAGCAAUUCCCACAAUUGCUUAAAAGAUCGUCGCCGAAUUCCGCCAUCAUCUCCACCACCGCGGAUCAUCCUUUGAUCUCCCCGUGAAUUACAACAGGUUCUGAUUUCCUACCUUACUGCUCCUGCAAUUUAGUUAUCCUUAUUCGAAAAUCCAAAAAAAAAAACUGUUCCUAUAUUGCUGCAUAAACCUUUCGUCACAAAGUUUUCAUCUCUACGACGAAAGAUACAUUGCAGAAUUC